This 258-nucleotide ribosomal RNA is filed under the name uncultured bacterium. RNAcentral describes it as "partial 16S ribosomal RNA". It matches the Rfam family "Bacterial small subunit ribosomal RNA", at positions 524 to 776 of the family's 1533-position model. The record is from RNAcentral.
GACGUAGGGCGCGAGCGUUGUCCGGAUUUAUUGGGCGUAAAGAGCUCGUAGGCGGCUUGUCGCGUCGUCCGUGAAAACUUGGGGCUCAACCCCAAGCUUGCGGUCGAUACGGGCAGGCUAGAGUUCGGUAGGGGAGACUGGAAUUCCUGGUGUAGCGGUGGAAAUGCGCAGAGUAUCAGGAGGAACACCGGUGGCGAAGGCGGGUCUCUGGGCCGAUACUGACGUGGAGGAAGCGGAAAGCGUGGGGAGCGAAACAGG